CAGCAGCCGCGGGAAUACGAAGGGGGCUAGCGUUGCUCGGAAUGACUGGGCGUAAAGGGCGCGUAGGCGGAUGGCACAGUCAGAUGUGAAAUUCCCGGGCUUAACCUGGGGGCUGCAUUUGAUACGUGUUGUCUAGAGUGAGGAAGAGGGUCGUGGAAUUCCCAGUGUAGAGGUGAAAUUCGUAGAUAUUGGGAAGAACACCGGUGGCGAAGGCGGCGACCUGGUCCUUGACUGACGCUGAGGCGCGAAAGCGUGGGGAGCAAACAGGAUUAGAUACCCCUGUAGUCCCUGUCUCUUAUAC
This 301-nucleotide ribosomal RNA is filed under the name uncultured bacterium. RNAcentral describes it as "partial 16S ribosomal RNA". It matches the Rfam family "Bacterial small subunit ribosomal RNA", at positions 509 to 807 of the family's 1533-position model. The record is from RNAcentral.